This 497-nucleotide ribosomal RNA is filed under the name uncultured bacterium. Its description in RNAcentral is "partial 16S ribosomal RNA". It matches the Rfam family "Bacterial small subunit ribosomal RNA", at positions 28 to 507 of the family's 1533-position model. The record is from RNAcentral.
GAUGAACGCUGGCGGCGUGCCUAAUACAUGCAAGUCGAGCGAACAGACGAGGAGCUUGCUCCUCUGACGUUAGCGGCGGACGGGUGAGUAACACGUGGAUAACCUACCUAUAAGACUGGGAUAACUUCGGGAAACCGGAGCUAAUACCGGAUAAUAUAUUGAACCGCAUGGUUCAAUAGUGAAAGACGGUUUUGCUGUCCCUUAUACAUGGAUCCGCGCCGCAUUAGCUAGUUGGUAAGGUAACGGCUUACCAAGGCAACGAUGCGUAGCCGACCUGAGAGGGUGAUCGGCCACACUGGAACUGAGACACGGUCCAGACUCCUACGGGAGGCAGCAGUAGGGAAUCUUCCGCAAUGGGCGAAAGCUUGACGGAGCAACGCCGCGUGAGUGAUGAAGGUCUUCGGAUCGUAAAACUCUGUUAUUAGGGAAGAACAAAUGUGUAAGUAACUAUGCACGUCUUGACGGUACCUAAUCAGAAAGCCACGGCUAACUACGUG